Thalassophryne amazonica is the source of this 109-nucleotide long non-coding RNA. RefSeq lists it as uncharacterized. The record is from RefSeq and is a predicted model, not a curated record. The transcript has 3 exons. NCBI's taxonomy places the organism in Eukaryota, Metazoa, Chordata, Actinopteri, Batrachoidiformes, Batrachoididae.
ACUUGGCUUUCUACAACAGUUGAGGUCCUCAACACUGAGGAACUUGUUUGCUCGAUCAUGCACAGAGAAAUGCACCAUGUGGUCAAAAUGUCAUAGAUGACCUUGCCUC